This 116-nucleotide non-coding RNA is filed under the name Rothia nasimurium. RNAcentral's name for it is "SAM-IV sequence". It matches the Rfam family "SAM (S-adenosyl methionine) riboswitch aptamer". Rfam says of the family: SAM-IV is a mRNA element that regulates gene expression via direct sensing of S-adenosylmethionine (SAM or AdoMet). Lineage: Bacteria; Bacillati; Actinomycetota; Actinomycetes; Micrococcales; Micrococcaceae. The record is from Rfam by way of RNAcentral.
GAUUCAGAAGCCCAACGUAAAGCCCUUUGACUUGUUGGCUGGCAACCGCCUGACGCAGACGGUGCCCUCAAAGGAAAAUCGGUCACCGGCCACAAGGUACGGUGAAAGAGCGUAUU